UUAUGAAAAAUCUGACUUGAGCGUCAGAGGAUCCCCACCGGAGUCAUCUUUGACGGAGGCUUUUUUUGUAGGUCCGGCCACUGUUGAUACACCGAACAUCAUCCCAUUCCAGCGCCUCUGGCUCAGAAUGGAUUCUAGCCGCAACUGAAAACAAACUGAAGUUCCUUGUAAAGGAUCAAACAAGGUGUGAAUCAGAGGUUAAAUCAUGAUUUUGUCAAGAAAUAUGACAUCAUGAGGAAUAUUAUCAAAUAACAUCAGAAGAGGAUUUCUACUACGUCCAUGCAUACCAGAAAUCCUUUAUAAUUUACCA
RNAcentral lists this long non-coding RNA (310 nucleotides) under Elaeis guineensis (African oil palm). Its description in RNAcentral is "long non-coding RNA (EGUI_LNC023280)". The record is from RNAcentral. Lineage: Eukaryota; Viridiplantae; Streptophyta; Magnoliopsida; Arecales; Arecaceae.